AUUGACCGCUGGCGGCAGGCCUAACACAUGCAAGUCGAGCGGAGCGGCGGACGGGUGAGUACUGCCUAGGAAUCUGCCUGGUGGUGGGGGAUAACGUCCGGAAACGGGCGCUAAUACCGCAUACUAUCAGAUGAGCCUAGGUCGGAUUAGCUAGUUGGUGGGGUAAAGGCCUACCAAGGCGACGAUCCGUAACUGGUCUGAGAGGACGAUCAGUCACACUGGAACUGAGACACGGUCCAGACUCCUACGGGAGGCAGCAGUGGGGAAUAUUGGACAAUGGGCGAAAGCCUGAUCCAGCCAUGCCGCGUGUGUGAAGAAGGUCUUCGGAUUGUAAAGCACUUUAGGUUGGGAGGCGUUAUCAACAGAAUAAGCACCGGCUAACUGCGUGCCAGCCGCCGCGGUAAUAC
RNAcentral lists this ribosomal RNA (407 nucleotides) under uncultured bacterium. RNAcentral's name for it is "partial 16S ribosomal RNA". It matches the Rfam family "Bacterial small subunit ribosomal RNA", at positions 30 to 526 of the family's 1533-position model. The record is from RNAcentral.